This 460-nucleotide ribosomal RNA is filed under the name uncultured bacterium. RNAcentral's name for it is "partial 16S ribosomal RNA". It matches the Rfam family "Bacterial small subunit ribosomal RNA", at positions 338 to 795 of the family's 1533-position model. The record is from RNAcentral.
CCUACGGGAGACAGCAGUGAGGAAUAUUGGUCAAUGGACGAGAGUCUGAACCAGCCAAGUAGCGUGAAGGAUGACUGCCCUAUGGGUUGUAAACUUCUUUUAUAUGGGAAUAAAACGUUCCACGUGUGGGAUUUUGUAUGUACCAUAUGAAUAAGGAUCGGCUAACUCCGUGCCAGCAGCCGCGGUAAUACGGAGGAUCCGAGCGUUAUCCGGAUUUAUUGGGUUUAAAGGGGGCGUAGGUGGAUUGUUAAGUCAGUUGUGAAAGUUUGCGGCUCAACCGUAAAAUUGCAGUUGAAACUGGCAGUCUUGAGUACAGUAGAGGUGGGCGGAAUUCGUGGUGUAGCGGUGAAAUGCUUAGAUAUCACGAAGAACUCCGAUUGCGAAGGCAGUUCACUGGACUGCAACUGACACUGAGGCUCGAAAGUGUGGGUAUCAAACAGGAUUAGAUACCCCUGUAGUC